RNAcentral lists this ribosomal RNA (516 nucleotides) under uncultured Glomus. RNAcentral describes it as "SSU rRNA". It matches the Rfam family "Eukaryotic small subunit ribosomal RNA", at positions 569 to 1089 of the family's 1831-position model. The record is from RNAcentral. Lineage: Eukaryota; Fungi; Glomeromycota; Glomeromycetes; Glomerales; Glomeraceae.
AGCAGCCGCGGUAAUUCCAGCUCCAAUAGCGUAUAUUAAAGUUGUUGCAGUUAAAAAGCUCGUAGUUGAAUUUCGGGGUUAGUAGGUCGGUCAUGCCACUGGUAUGUACUGGUCUCACUGAUUCCUCCUUCCUGAUGAACCGUAAUGCCAUUAAUUUGGUGUUGCGGGGAGACUGGACUGUUACUUUGAAAAAAUUGAGUGUUUAAAGCAGGCUAACGCUUGAAUACAUUAGCAUGGAAUAAUGAAAUAGGACGUUCGAUCCUAUUUUGUUGGUUUCUAGGAUUGACGUAAUGAUUAAUAGGGAUAGUUGGGGGCAUUAGUAUUCAAUUGUCAGAGGUGAAAUUCUUGGAUUUAUUGAAGACUAACUACUGCGAAAGCAUUUGCCAAGGAUGUUUUCAUUAAUCAAGAACGAAAGUUAGGGAUCGAAGACGAUCAGAUACCAUCGUAGUCUUAACCAUAAACUAUGCCGACUAGGGAUCGGAUGAUGUUAAUUUUUAUGUACUCAUUCGGCUACCG